Molecule: ribosomal RNA, 788 nt
Filed under: uncultured bacterium
Lineage: Bacteria
Description: bacterial SSU rRNA
Rfam family: Bacterial small subunit ribosomal RNA
Source: RNAcentral
AGAGUUUGAUCAUGGCUCAGAUUGAACGCUGGCGGAAUUUACACAUGCAAGUCGAACGGCAGCACGGGGGCAACCCUGGUGGCGAGUGGCGAACGGGUGAGUAAUACAUCGGAACGUGCCCAGUCGUGGGGGAUAACGUAGCGAAAGCUACGCUAAUACCGCAUACGAACUCUGGUUGAAAGCGGGGGAUCGCAAGACCUCGCGCGAUUGGAGCGGCCGAUGGCAGAUUAGGUAGUUGGUGGGGUAAAGGCUCACCAAGCCGACGAUCUGUAGCUGGUCUGAGAGGACGACCAGCCACACUGGGACUGAGACACGGCCCAGACUCCUACGGGAGGCAGCAGUGGGGAAUUUUGGACAAUGGGCGCAAGCCUGAUCCAGCCAUUCCGCGUGCAGGAUGAAGGCCCUCGGGUUGUAAACUGCUUUUGGACGGAACGAAAAGGCCUUUCCUAAUACGGAGGGCUCAUGACAGUACCGUCAGAAUAAGCACCGGCUAACUACGUGCCAGCAGCCGCGGUAAUACGUAGGGUGCAAGCGUUAAUCGGAAUUACUGGGCGUAAAGCGUGCGCAGGCGGUUAUGUAAGACAGGUGUGAAAUCCCCGGGCUUAACCUGGGAACUGCAUUUGUGACUGCAUAGCUAGAGUACGGUAGAGGGGGAUGGAAUUCCGCGUAGCAGUGAAAUGCGUAGAUAUGCGGAGGAACACCGAUGGCGAAGGCAAUCCCCUGGACCUGUACUGACGCUCAUGCACGAAAGCGUGGGGAGCAAACAGGAUUAGAUACCCUAGUAGUCC